RNAcentral lists this unclassified non-coding RNA (214 nucleotides) under uncultured Holophagae bacterium. RNAcentral's name for it is "contains 16S-23S intergenic spacer region". Lineage: Bacteria; Pseudomonadati; Acidobacteriota; Holophagae. The record is from RNAcentral.
UCCGGUUUAUCACCGGCAGUCUCCAUAGAGUCCUCGGCUUGACCCGUUAGUAACUAUGAAUAAGGGUUGCGCUCGUUGCGGGACUUAACCCAACAUCUCACGACACGAGCUGACGACAGCCAUGCAGCACCUCUACACAGACCUCCGAAGAGGGGACCUCAUCUCUGAGGCUUUCCUGUGCAGUUCAAACCCAGGUAAGGUGGGGAUGACGUCU